This 450-nucleotide ribosomal RNA is filed under the name uncultured bacterium. RNAcentral's name for it is "partial 16S ribosomal RNA". It matches the Rfam family "Bacterial small subunit ribosomal RNA", at positions 29 to 523 of the family's 1533-position model. The record is from RNAcentral.
AACGAACGCUGGCGGCAGGCUCAACACAUGCAAGUCGAACGGACGUAGCAAUACGUUAGUGGCAGACGGGUGAGGAACACGUGGGAACAUCCCUUUCAGUUCGGAAUAACUCAGGGAAACUUGAGCUAAUACCGGAUACGUCCUUCGGGAGAAAGAUUUAUCGCUGAAAGAUUGGCCCGCGUCUGAUUAGCUAGUUGGUGAGGUAACGGCUCACCAAGGCUACGAUCAGUAGCUGAUCUGAGAGGAUGAUCAGCCACAUUGGGACUGAGACACGGCCCAAACUCCUACGGGAGGCAGCAGUGGGGAAUAUUGGACAAUGGGCGCAAGCCCGAUCCAGCCAUGCCGCGUGAGUGAUGAAGGCCUUCGGGUUGUAAAGCUCUUUUGUCCGGGAAGAUAAUGACUGUACCGGAAGAAUAAGCCCCGGCAAACUUCGUGCCAGCCGCCCGGUAA